Molecule: ribosomal RNA, 443 nt
Filed under: uncultured bacterium
Lineage: Bacteria
Description: partial 16S ribosomal RNA
Rfam family: Bacterial small subunit ribosomal RNA
Source: RNAcentral
CCUACGGGGGGCAGCAGUGGGGGAUAUUGGACAAUGGGGGAAACCCUGAUCCAGCGACGCCGCGGGAGUGAAGAAGUAUUUCGGUAGGUAAGGCUCUGUCAGCAGGGAAGAAAGAAAUGACGGUACCUGACCAAGAAGCCCCGGCUAACUACGUGCCAGCAGCCGCGGUAAUACGUAGGGGGCAAGCGUGAUCCGGAAUUACUGGGUGUAAAGGGAGGGUAGACGGUGAUGCAAGUCUGGAGUGAAAGGCGGGGGCCCAACCCCCGGACUGCUCUGGAAACUGUGUAACUUGAGUGCAGGAGAGGUAAGCGGAAUUCCUAGUGUAGCGGUGAAAUGCGUAGAUAUUAGGAGGAACACCAGUGGCGAAGGCGGCUUACUGGACUGUAACUGACGUUGAGGCUCGAAAGCGUGGGGAGCAAACAGGAUUAGAUACCCGAGUAGUC